UGGGGAAUAUUGCACAAUGGGCGAAAGCCUGAUGCAGCAACGCCGCGUGCGGGAAGACAGCCCUAGGGUUGUAAACCGCUUUCAGCAGGGAAGAAACUGACGGUACCUGCAGAAGAAGAUGCGGCCAACUACGUGCCAGCAGCCGCGGUGACACGUAGGCAUCAAGCGUUAUCCGGAUUUAUUGGGCGUAAAGAGCUCGUAGGCGGUUCGGUAAGUCGGGUGUGAAACUCUGGGCUCAACCCAGAGAGGCCACUCGAUACUGCUGUGACUAGAGUGCGGUAGGGGAGCGGGGAAUUCCUGGUGUAGCGGUGAAAUGCGCAGAUAUCAGGAGGAACACCAGUGGCGAAGGCGGGUCUCUGGGCCGGAACUGACGCUGAGGAGCGAAAGCGUGGGGAGCGAACAGGAUUAGAUACCCUGGUAGUCCACACCGUAAAACGAUGAAUGCCAGUCGUCGGGUAGCAUGCUAUUCGGUGACACACCUAACGGAUUAAGCAUUCCGCCUGGGAGUACGGUCGCAAGA
Molecule: ribosomal RNA, 520 nt
Filed under: uncultured bacterium
Lineage: Bacteria
Description: bacterial SSU rRNA
Rfam family: Bacterial small subunit ribosomal RNA
Source: RNAcentral